GCGCUUUGGUUUCCCGCCCACUCCUUAAGCUAGUGUGGACACCGCCUCCUUCAACUGUUGAUCCCUGCGAACUUGUGACGUCUGCUAUGGCGCAUGCGCUCCCGUGGAGGCUCCCGUCUCACCAUGCAGCGCAGGCUGGCCUGGAACCCGAUGUGUAGACCAUGGUCCUGUGCUCAGAGACAAGCCUAUCUCUGUCUUCAGCCUGCUGGAACUGAAGGCGAGGAGCACCAAGCCAGCUGUUCAUCUUCAGCAGGACUUUGCUGUGCUGCCAGACUGGCCCGGAAGUUCUAGACCCAAGUGGUCCUCCUGCUUCACUCCUGUGUGUCUGGGACCACAAGUUCAGCCUUCAUAUCGUGAUGUUUACUUAAAAUCACAUCGAAGCCCGGGCGUGAUGGCAGCUGCCUAUAAUCCCAGCAGGUGUGUGGUGGGGGAGGGGACAGAAACAGGAGGUCCUAGAGUGCAAGGCCAGCCUGUGCCACAUGAGCUGAUGGCUCAGUGGUUAAGAGCACUGGCUGCUCUUCUAGAGGUCAUUAGUUCAAUAUUCAGCAACCGCAUGGUGGCUCACAACCAUCUAUCAUGGAAUUUGAUUCUCUCUUUGGUGUACAUGAAAGAAGGGUACUUGUAUACAUAAAGUUAAUAAAUAAAAAUCUUCAAAGAAGUGUA
Meriones unguiculatus (Mongolian gerbil) is the source of this 663-nucleotide long non-coding RNA. RefSeq lists it as uncharacterized. The record is from RefSeq and is a predicted model, not a curated record. NCBI's taxonomy places the organism in Eukaryota, Metazoa, Chordata, Mammalia, Rodentia, Muridae. The transcript is spliced from 2 exons.